This 104-nucleotide microRNA precursor is filed under the name Marmota monax (woodchuck). Lineage: Eukaryota; Metazoa; Chordata; Mammalia; Rodentia; Sciuridae. The record is from RNAcentral.
AGUAAAAUGGCUGGGCCAUGUGAUGACUCUAUGUUGAACUUUUUGAGGAAUUGUCAAACUGUUUUCCAAAGCAUGUGCAUCAUUUUAAAAUAUCUAUCAGUAGU